Molecule: long non-coding RNA, 1725 nt
Filed under: Sus scrofa (pig)
Lineage: Eukaryota; Metazoa; Chordata; Mammalia; Artiodactyla; Suidae
Description: lncRNA (ENSSSCG00035076536.1)
Source: RNAcentral
GCAUCCUUCUUCUUUAGGAUGGAACAAUAUACCCGUCCCUGGUUAUAGGUGGGCUUACUCACUUCUGCUGGGUUCACGGGCACAGAAGGGCUCUCCUCCAGUUUCAACUCUCAUUGUCUGGGAUGAGAGGAAACAGCACCAGCCAAGUGCAGGAGGAGGGUCACUGGAUCCGGGAAACAUUAGCACACUGGUCCAGAAAUGGCAUCUCCAGUAAGAGGCUGGGUCAGUUCACAAGCCUCUUGAGUGGCUGUUGUGAAAUAUCCUUGACACCAUCCAUCACCCUGUGUUCUUAUUCCAUCCACACCCAGAAAGUGGACUCUUGUUGACUAGGAACCUCCCAGAUAUUCAGUAUGGAAAUCUGAAGUCCUGGGGUGGGACAGAGAUGUGAGCAUACUUGUUUCUGGGAAGAUCAGUUUCUUCACACAUAACCAUAGACUAGAAAUUGGUUUGAACAUGUCUCCUGCAUCUACUUUCCGGGGCAACUUUCCUUGAGCUUGACCGACUCUGACAUUCUGCCAAAAAGUCUUGAUGAGAAAAGGAGGAAGCAAUUCUGAAUCACAUGGACUUUUCUGUUAUACUCCUAAUGGUCUUUAAAAAAAAAAAAAAAGCCACAAACAACAACAACGAAAAGCUUUAGCGAGGUAAAAUUUUUAUAUUGUAAUGUUUGCCCAUUUUAAGUGUGCAAUUCAAUCAUUUCUUUUCUAGUUAAAUUCCUAGGGUGCAACCAUGACUAUAAUUCCAUUUUAGAACUCUUCUAUUAGCUCACAAUGAUACUGGUGCUCUUUUGUAAUUAAUCCCUGUUUCCACCUCCUAGCCCCAGGCAACCACUGAUUGGCUUUCUGUGUCUAUAAAUUUGCCUUUUCUGAGCAUUUUGUAUAAAGGAAAUGAUGUAUUAUGCAGUCUUCUGCUUUUGGCUGCUUUCACCUUAGCAUAAUGUAUGGAUUCGUACAUGACAUAUGAGUACGUCAUUCCUUGUUAUGACUAAAUAAUAUUCUCUCAUACAGGUAGUCCACAUUUUGUUUAAAUUCAUGUUUUUUCCACUUUUUGGCAAUAUGAAUAAUACUGCUGUGAAUUUCUGUGUACCAAAAUCUAGUUUUGUGUAUAAGUAUUUUAAUUUCUCUUGGGUAGAUACCUGGGAGUGGGUUUGCUGGGUCACUCGGUAAAUUUAUGUUUCCCCAGUGCAGUCUUGAGCAGCCAUUGACCCAGCCUCCUCCUUAGCAUCAUGCAAAGUAAUAAUGGGAUAGCCUGAGAACUUAGCAACUAUGUGUUUAUAACAUUGACUCUGUAGGAGAGGCCCUAUUAGGACUUGUAAACUCUACCUACUUUUAAAAAACCAACAAACAAAAAACCAAAUUCUACCUACCUUUAAACUGAGGUUAGCCUCAUGGUAGCCAUCUGAGGUUGUGAUUUCAAUCCACUGAUUCUCUAAAAUACAAAAGACAUGAAAGCUUGUGGUGGCUAAGGGGUGAGAGGGAGGGAGCAGGAUGGACUGGGAGUUUGGGCUCGGUAGAUACAAACUAUUAUAUUUAGGAUGGAUAAGCAAUGAGGUCAUGCUGUAUAGCACAGGGAACUAUAUCCAAUCACUUGUGAUAGAACAUGAUGGAAGAUAAUAUGAGAAAAAGAAUGUAUAUAUGUGGCAUGACUGGGUCACUUUGCUGUGCAGCAGAAAUUGAUAAAACAUUGUAAAUCAAAUAUGCUUUAAUAAAAAAAUUAAUAAAAAAGACA